GGGUUGUGAGGUUAAGCGACUAAGCGUACACGGUGGAUGCCCCGGCAGUCAGAGGCGAUGAAGGACGCUAAUCUGCGAUAAGCGUCGGUAAGGUGAUAUGAACCGUUAUAACCGGCGAUUUCCGAAUGGGGAAACCCAGUGUGUUUCGACACACUAUCAUUAACUGAAUCCAUAGGUUAAUGAGGCGAACCGGGGGAACUGAAACAUCUAAGUACCCCGAGGAAAAGAAAUCAACCGAGAUUCCCCCAGUAGCGGCGAGCGAACGGGGAGCAGCCCAGAGCCUGAAUCAGUGUGUGUGUUAGUGGAAGCGUCUGGAAAGGCGCGCGAUACAGGGUGACAGCCCCGUACACAAAAAAACACAUGCUGUGAGCUCGAUGAGUAGGGCGGGACACGUGGUAUCCUGUCUGAAUAUGGGGGGACCAUCCUCCAAGGCUAAAUACUCCUGACUGACCGAUAGUGAACCAGUACCGUGAGGGAAAGGCGAAAAGAACCCCGGCGAGGGGAGUGAAAAAGAACCUGAAACCGUGUACGUACAAGCAGUGGGAGCCUCUUUUAUGGGGUGACUGCGUACCUUUUGUAUAAUGGGUCAGCGACUUAUAUUCUGUAGCAAGGUUAACCGAAUAGGGGAGCCGAAGGGAAACCGAGUCUUAACUGGGCGUUAAGUUGCAGGGUAUAGACCCGAAACCCGGUGAUUCAGCCAUGGGCAGGUUGAAGGUUGGGUAACACUAACUGGAGGACCGAACCGACUAAUGUUGAAAAAUUAGCGGAUGACUUGUGGCUGGGGUGAAAGGCCAAUCAAACCGGGAGAUAGCUGGUUCUCCCCGAAAGCUAUUUAGGUAGCGCCUCGUGAAUUCAUCUCCGGGGUAGAGCACUGUUUCGGCAAGGGGUCAUCCCGACUUACCAACCCGAUGCAAACUGCGAAUACCGGAGAAUGUUAUCACGGGAGACACACGGCGGGUGCUAACGUCCGUCGUGAAGAGGGAAACAACCCAGACCGCCAGCUAAGGUCCCAAAGUCAUGGUUAAGUGGGAAACGAUGUGGGAAGGCCCAGACAGCCAGGAUGUUGGCUUAGAAGCAGCCAUCAUUUAAAGAAAGCGUAAUAGCUCACUGGUCGAGUCGGCCUGCGCGGAAGAUGUAACGGGGCUAAACCAUGCACCGAAGCUGCGGCAGCGACGCUGAUGCGUUGUUGGGUAGGGGGGAGCGUUCUGUAAGCCUGUGAAGGUGUGCUGUGAGGCAUGCUGGAGGUAUCAGAAGUGCGAAUGCUGACAUAAGUAACGAUAAAGCGGGUGAAAAGCCCGCUCGCCGGAAGACCAAGGGUUCCUGUCCAACGUUAAUCGGGGCAGGGUGAGUCGACCCUAAGGCGAGGCCGAAAGGCGUAGUCGAUGGGAAACAGGUUAAUAUUCCUGUACUUGGUGUUACUGCGAAGGGGGGACGGAGAAGGCUAUGUUGGCCGGGCGACGGUUGUCCCGGUUUAAGCGUGUAGGCUGGUUUUCCAGGCAAAUCCGGAAAAUCAAGGCUGAGGCGUGAUGACGAGGCACUACGGUGCUGAAGCAACAAAUGCCCUGCUUCCAGGAAAAGCCUCUAAGCAUCAGGUAACAUCAAAUCGUACCCCAAACCGACACAGGUGGUCAGGUAGAGAAUACCAAGGCGCUUGAGAGAACUCGGGUGAAGGAACUAGGCAAAAUGGUGCCGUAACUUCGGGAGAAGGCACGCUGAUAUGUAGGUGAAGUCCCUCGCGGAUGGAGCUGAAAUCAGUCGAAGAUACCAGCUGGCUGCAACUGUUUAUUAAAAACACAGCACUGUGCAAACACGAAAGUGGACGUAUACGGUGUGACGCCUGCCCGGUGCCGGAAGGUUAAUUGAUGGGGUUAGCGGUAACGCGAAGCUCUUGAUCGAAGCCCCGGUAAACGGCGGCCGUAACUAUAACGGUCCUAAGGUAGCGAAAUUCCUUGUCGGGUAAGUUCCGACCUGCACGAAUGGCGUAAUGAUGGCGGGCUGUCUCCACCCGAGACUCAGUGAAAUUGAACUCGCUGUGAAGAUGCAGUGUACCCGCGGCAAGACGGAAAGACCCCGUGAACCUUUACUAUAGCUUGACACUGAACAUUGAGCCUUGAUGUGUAGGAUAGGUGGGAGGCUUUGAAGUGUGGACGCCAGUCUGCAUGGAGCCGACCUUGAAAUACCACCCUUUAAUGUUUGAUGUUCUAACGUUGACCCGUAAUCCGGGUUGCGGACAGUGUCUGGUGGGUAGUUUGACUGGGGCGGUCUCCUCCUAAAGAGUAACGGAGGAGCACGAAGGUUGGCUAAUCUGGUCGGACAUCAGGAGGUUAGUGCAAUGGCAUAAGCCAGCUUGACUGCGAGCGUGACGGCGCGAGCAGGUGCGAAAGCAGGUCAUAGUGAUCCGGUGGUUCUGAAUGGAAGGGCCAUCGCUCAACGGAUAAAAGGUACUCCGGGGAUAACAGGCUGAUACCGCCCAAGAGUUCAUAUCGACGGCGGUGUUUGGCACCUCGAUGUCGGCUCAUCACAUCCUGGGGCUGAAGUAGGUCCCAAGGGUAUGGCUGUUCGCCAUUUAAAGUGGUACGCGAGCUGGGUUUAGAACGUCGUGAGACAGUUCGGUCCCUAUCUGCCGUGGGCGCUGGAGAACUGAGGGGGCUGCUCCUAGUACGAGAGGACCGGAGUGGACGCAUCACUGGUGUUCGGGUUGUCAUGCCAAUGGCACUGCCCGGUAGCUAAAUGCGGAAGAGAUAAGUGCUGAAAGCAUCUAAGCACGAAACUUGCCCCGAGAUGAGUUCUCCCUGACUCCUUGAGAGUCCUGAAGGAACGUUGAAGACGACGACGUUGAUAGGCCGGGUGUGUAAGCGCAGCGAUGCGUUGAGCUAACCGGUACUAAUGAACCGUGAGGCUUAACCUUACAACGCCGAAG
Molecule: ribosomal RNA, 2920 nt
Filed under: Escherichia coli
Lineage: Bacteria; Pseudomonadati; Pseudomonadota; Gammaproteobacteria; Enterobacterales; Enterobacteriaceae
Description: 23S ribosomal RNA
Rfam family: Bacterial large subunit ribosomal RNA
Source: RNAcentral